This 352-nucleotide ribosomal RNA is filed under the name uncultured bacterium. RNAcentral's name for it is "bacterial SSU rRNA". It matches the Rfam family "Bacterial small subunit ribosomal RNA", at positions 8 to 349 of the family's 1533-position model. The record is from RNAcentral.
AGAGUUUGAUCCUGGCUCAGGAUGAACGCUAGCUACAGGCUUAACACAUGCAAGUCGAGGGGAAACGACAUCGAAAGCUUGCUUUUGAUGGGCGUCGACCGGCGCACGGGUGAGUAACGCGUAUCCAACCUGCCCACCACUUGGGGAUAACCUUGCGAAAGUAAGACUAAUACCCAAUGACGUCUCUAGAAGACAUCUGAAAGAGAUUAAAGAUUUAUCGGUGAUGGAUGGGGAUGCGUCUGAUUAGCUUGUUGGGCGGGGUAACGGCCACCAAGGCGACGAUCAGUAGGGGUUCUGAGAGGAACGGUCCCCCANAUUGGAACUGAGACACGGUCCAAACUCCUAGGGAGCA